Molecule: ribosomal RNA, 433 nt
Filed under: uncultured bacterium
Lineage: Bacteria
Description: partial 16S ribosomal RNA
Rfam family: Bacterial small subunit ribosomal RNA
Source: RNAcentral
AGCGAACGCUGGCGGCAGGCUUAACACAUGCAAGUCGAGCGGGCCCUUCGGGGUCAGCGGCAGACGGGUGAGUAACACGUGGGAACGUACCCUUUGGUUCGGAAUAACGCUGGGAAACUAGCGCUAAUACCGGAUACGCCUUUUUGGGGAAAGGCUUGCUGCCGAAGGAUCGGCCCGCGUCUGAUUAGCUAGUUGGUGGGGUAAUGGCCUACCAAGGCGACGAUCAGUAGCUGGUCUGAGAGGAUGAUCAGACACACUGGGACUGAGACACGGCCCAGACUCCUACGGGAGGCAGCAGUGGGGAAUAUUGGACAAUGGGCGCAAGCCUGAUCCAGCCAUGCCGCGUGAGUGAUGAAGGCCUUAGGGUUGUAAAGCUCUUUUGUCCGGGACGAUAAUGACGGUACCGGAAGAAUAAGCCCCGGCUAACUUCGUG